Molecule: non-coding RNA, 597 nt
Organism: Kogia breviceps (pygmy sperm whale)
Lineage: Eukaryota; Metazoa; Chordata; Mammalia; Artiodactyla; Physeteridae
Source: RefSeq, a predicted model, not a curated record
GCGGGAGUAGACCCCAGCCGGGGAUUCUGCGCAGCCUCGGGCGACAGACUGUGCUCUCUCCACCAAGCCUUCUGCAGGUCCUGCGGCCCUGAGCUUCCCCAAGCUAGGUGACAACAUUUCCCGCUGCCACCAUGGAUUAGGUGUCUGUCGUGAAAGGUUGUUUCCACGAGCGCAGUGAAUCCAUCAAGACCUGGAGUGAUGGCUUCUCGCUGGAUGGAAGGAGUGCCGGAGCCUCCGACCAGACCCUGCCCCUCUCAACAACUUCUCUGUCGCAGAAAGUCCCUGAUGAAGACCAGGAGACGGGGCCCAACACCAUUGUCAUACGCUGCCUGCAGUGGACCACAGUCAUCCAGAGGACCAUACACGUGGACUCUCCAGAGGGAGCUACCUGGAACACACUGAGAAGGAUACUGAAGAAAUGCUGAGCUCUGCUGGAGAGAUUAUCUACUACCAAAGUCUGUCAUGGACACAAAAAGAAAUUUUGACCACGAAAGCAGAUGUGAGAAAUUGAAGAUGGCCUACAGAGGAUUUAGAGAAAAAUAGAGGAAUUACUGAUGUUUGACUCUGGAGAUGGUGGUGAUGGUAGCUGUAAAAGAA